This 443-nucleotide ribosomal RNA is filed under the name uncultured bacterium. RNAcentral's name for it is "partial 16S ribosomal RNA". It matches the Rfam family "Bacterial small subunit ribosomal RNA", at positions 338 to 795 of the family's 1533-position model. The record is from RNAcentral.
CCUACGGGAGGCAGCAGUGGGGAAUAUUGGACAAUGGGGGGAACCCUGAUCCAGCGACGCCGCGUGAGUGAAGAAGUAUUUCGGUAUGUAAAGCUCUAUCAGCAGGGACGAAAGAAAUGACGGUACCUGACUAAGAAGCCCCGGCUAACUAGGUGCCAGCAGCCGCGGUAAUACGUAGGGGGCAAGCGUUAUCCGGAUUUACUGGGGGUAAAGGGAGCGUAGGCGGCGAUGCAAGUCUGAAGUGAAAGGCGGGGGCCCAACCCCCGGACUGCUUUGGAAACUGGAUGGCUGGAGGGCAGGAGAGGUAAGUGGAAUUCCUAGUGUAGCGGUGAAAUGCUUAGAUAGUAGGAGGAACACCAGUGGCGAAGGCGGCUUACUGGACUGUAACUGACGUUGAGGCUCGAAAGCGUGGGGAGCGAACAGGAUUAGAUACCCUUGUAGUC